AGCUCUGUGUAUGAAGUGACAACAGUGGACGUGUUAUUUCUUGGCUUUAGCAAAGCUUUUGAUACGGUCUCCCACUGUAUUCUUGCAAGCAAGUUAAAGAAGUAUGGGCUGGAUGA
Long non-coding RNA from Gopherus evgoodei (Goodes thornscrub tortoise), 116 nucleotides. RefSeq lists it as uncharacterized. The transcript is spliced from 3 exons. Lineage: Eukaryota; Metazoa; Chordata; Testudines; Testudinidae. The record is from RefSeq and is a predicted model, not a curated record.